RNAcentral lists this long non-coding RNA (357 nucleotides) under Mytilus galloprovincialis (Mediterranean mussel). The record is from RNAcentral. Lineage: Eukaryota; Metazoa; Mollusca; Bivalvia; Mytilida; Mytilidae.
GGUAAUUCUUAGUACAUUUGGGUAAAUUAAUCUUAUCUUUGUGCCGCAUAAGCAUCUCUAUAAUUCAACACAUCCCUGAGCCACGACAUUAUUAUUUUAUGCAUUGCAUGCGCUUCUUUGUAUCACAAUCCAGACCGGCUAGUAACCGUUGUAUAACUUUACACGUCUGAAGACGAAUAUUUGCAUGAAACAUUUUUGUAUGAUUUUUAUUUCUGGAACAGUCCUUUUCCGAAAGUCGGGCUGGACCUUUACUUUUAUGUGCAUUCGGGAUUUACACAAAUUGUAACCCGAAUAAUCCAGUCGUAUUAUUCAGCUGAUGUACGACUGCUACAUUGCUCUUGUGGGAGAAAAUCGGAC